CUGGCGGCGUGCUUAACACAUGCAAGUCGAACGGAAAGGCCAGUGCUUGCACUGGUGCUCGAGUGGCGAACGGGUGAGUAACACGUGAGUGAUCUGCCCUGCACUUUGGGAUAAGCCUGGGAAACUGGGUCUAAUACCGGAUAGGACCAUGCUUUAGAUGGUGUGGUGGAAAGUUUUUUCGGUGCAAGAUGAGCUCGCGGCCUAUCAGCUUGUUGGUGGGGUAAUGGCCUACCAAGGCGUCGACGGGUAGCCGGCCUGAGAGGGUGUACGGCCACAUUGGGACUGAGAUACGGCCCAGACUCCUACGGGAGGCAGCAGUGGGGAAUAUUGCACAAUGGGCGGAAGCCUGAUGCAGCGACGCCGCGUGGGGGAUGACGGCCUUCGGGUUGUAAACUCCUUUCGACAGGGACGAAGCGCAAGUGACGGUACCUGUAUAAGAAGCACCGGCUAACUACGUGCCAGCCGCCGCGG
RNAcentral lists this ribosomal RNA (471 nucleotides) under uncultured Actinomycetales bacterium. RNAcentral's name for it is "bacterial SSU rRNA". It matches the Rfam family "Bacterial small subunit ribosomal RNA", at positions 36 to 520 of the family's 1533-position model. The record is from RNAcentral. Lineage: Bacteria; Bacillati; Actinomycetota; Actinomycetes; Actinomycetales.